AGGUGCAAUCGGAUACCAAUUAGCUGCAAUCAGAUACCAAUUAGCUGCAAUCAGAUACCAAUUAGCUGCAAUCAGAUACCAAUUAGCUGUAAUCGGAUACCAAUUAGCUGCAGUCAGUCACCAAAGGGGGAAGGAUUUUCAAAUUGUUUCCUUAAUUGAUCCAAUUGAAACAUAGAAGGAAGAAAGUAAUAAGGAGGAAAUACUUGAGGAUACGCCCGGAUUAUCCAGAAAGGAAACAGAGGAACGUUUUUCUUAGGAUGGAAAUUAGCUUCCUAAAAUGGGACGAGAUUGAAUAUUCAGGGGAUCUGAUUUCCUUUACCAGGCUGGAGGGAAUUGAGGAUUAUGAUUCACCAUUGCGAGAAAAAAAAAGAAAGAAAAACAUUAUUCAUCCGAGAGAGCAACUUACCAUCACCCAAACAUUGGAGACGCUAGACGGUCACUGAUCAUCACUACCUGGUAGGAAGGGACAUCACGGCCAGAGGAGGCGAAGACCAUUCGCUUUCAUUAGCUCCUUUCACCAAUGCUUUUAAAGCUGCGAAGGUAAGGCUCCAUAUCUAAGCUCUUAGUUUUAUAUGAAUGCAUGCUCUCUAUUAUGUCUGGAUAUGAAUGAAUGGUAUUUGAUGAGUGCAUAUAGUGGGGUUUGUCUUCCNUGGAUAUGAAUGAAUGAUCUUUGAUCACUGCACAUAGUUACCUUCAUCUUCUUCAUGGCAUACUGCGUUAAUCAAAACUGUACCAAAAAUAUAUAUUCAAUGCCAACAAAAUUCAUCAGAUAAAAUGACAAUAGGGAAUAGAUGGAUAUUCUUCAAGCAUCGGACUUCAAUNUCCAUUACUUUCACCCAGAAAUCACAUGUAAUGAAAAGAAAACAGAGAUAGAAUCAAAUGUAUCCUCAUGCCAAUUUUCAUAACAAAAAAGGAAAACAUAGAGUGGAAGUAGUUUCUUCUCCCUUGCAAGNUGUAUAGCCAGUCUCCGUUUUGAAUCGCCUUUCACCUGUGAUAAACAAAUCAACUGACCAAAUUGCAAACCCUCUGCCAUUUUAUUCACAAUUUGUCCUCUCGAGCAAACCACCACCAUUCAACUUCUUGGGAUAACCAUCGACCAUUUCCCCCAAUUCCCAGUUUCGCAUUCCAAGAAAUCUUCACACCUUUAAUCACAAACCUGAACCUACAAAUCAAUGUUUCGCAUCACGACCCAAAAUCCCAGUGAACCAAAACAUCAAUUGAUAGAUAAAUUAACUAAUAAUAAAAACGCCUUCGUCCAAGACAGUGGCAGUGUGGGUCGCUGGGAAUUCUUGGUUUAGACAAAUAGGAAACCCUGAACAGAGAGGGACGAGAGCGGCACUAUAGCGCCGGUGAGGGCAACGUCCGGCGGUUUGACGGUGAUAGCUGUCGGAGGGGCGCUGGCGCACUUGAGGAGAAACCCCAACCCUAGGUCGAACAGGUAGAGAGGGGGGAGGGUGAGAACGUCGCGACCGGUGGUUGUCACAGCAAGGCGUGAUGUCGCUGGCGACUUCGAGGCUAGCAGGGGAGGAUGGCGCGGUUCCGCCGGCGAUUCAAGAGUGGUGGUGGCUUCAGGGGACGUCGUCUGACGAUUUGACGGUGGGGUGGCCGUUUAGAAAUAGUGGUGGCUUGUGAUGGUGCGGCGGAGAGAGCGAGGGAGACCCAUGGUCUNUGGAGGGUGAGGGCGAGAGAGAGAUUUGAGAUCUCUCCGUUUGGCAAAUGGGUAAAAUGAGGGAGAAAUGGGAGAACCCCUAUUUCUUGAAGUGGAGGGAUACAUGGGCUUCUGGCCAAACCCAAAAACCAAAAAGGAAUAAAAACUGUUCUAUCUGCACCCCCUUUUCUCAUCCUCG
Molecule: long non-coding RNA, 1847 nt
Filed under: Vigna radiata
Lineage: Eukaryota; Viridiplantae; Streptophyta; Magnoliopsida; Fabales; Fabaceae
Description: long non-coding RNA (VRAD_LNC004927)
Source: RNAcentral